UUAUUUAGGUAGGUUUGGGGUAAGAAAAAAAUAAAAAUAAAAUUAACUUAUAGUUGUUUUAAGGUAAAAUGGGACAAAAAAUCACACACAAAAAAAACUCUCGUAUACUCACCGUAAAUAUAUUUACCCGAAACACACCAAAAAUAAAUAAUUUUUUUUAACAAAAACUACUACCUCUCCAAAAUUAACUUAUUGUUUUUUUAUUUUUGUCUUUAAUAGUUUUUAAAUUUUUGGUCAAAAUUUUCACUAUUCUAAUUUGUCUUGAUUUGAGAAAUUAAAAAAGAAUUUUUAAAGGUUAAGACGUAUUUUUUUUCUGAAAAAAAUAAAAAUAUUGAACUUUUGACCUUCAAUUGUAUUUUUGGACUCAAGAUAAAUGUGAAUUGAGACAAGUGGAAUAAGAUUGCACUUCAACCAAUACCAUAAUGG
This 426-nucleotide long non-coding RNA is filed under the name Actinidia chinensis (golden kiwifruit). RNAcentral's name for it is "long non-coding RNA (ACHI_LNC005488)". The record is from RNAcentral. Lineage: Eukaryota; Viridiplantae; Streptophyta; Magnoliopsida; Ericales; Actinidiaceae.